This 775-nucleotide ribosomal RNA is filed under the name uncultured bacterium. RNAcentral describes it as "bacterial SSU rRNA". It matches the Rfam family "Bacterial small subunit ribosomal RNA", at positions 9 to 795 of the family's 1533-position model. The record is from RNAcentral.
GAUUUUGAUCCUGGCUCAGGAUGAACGCUGGCGGCGUGCUUAACACAUGCAAGUCGAACGAUGAUCCGGUGCUUGCGCCGGGGAUUAGUGGCGAACGGGUGAGUAACACGUGAGUAACCUGCCCUUAACUCUGGGAUAAGCCUGGGAAACUGGGUCUAAUACCGGAUAUGACUCCUCAUCGCAUGGUGGGGGGUGGAAAGCUUUAUUGUGGUUUUGGAUGGACUCGCGGCCUAUCAGCUUGUUGGUGAGGUAAUGGCUCACCAAGGCGACGACGGGUAGCCGGCCUGAGAGGGUGACCGGCCACACUGGGACUGAGACACGGCCCAGACUCCUACGGGAGGCAGCAGUGGGGAAUAUUGCACAAUGGGCGCAAGCCUGAUGCAGCGACGCCGCGUGAGGGAUGACGGCCUUCGGGUUGUAAACCUCUUUCAGUAGGGAAGAAGCGAAAGUGACGGUACCUGCAGAAGAAGCGCCGGCUAACUACGUGCCAGCAGCCGCGGUAAUACGUAGGGCGCAAGCGUUAUCCGGAAUUAUUGGGCGUAAAGAGCUCGUAGGCGGUUUGUCGCGUCUGCCGUGAAAGUCCGGGGCUCAACUCCGGAUCUGCGGUGGGUACGGGCAGACUAGAGUGAUGUAGGGGAGACUGGAAUUCCUGGUGUAGCGGUGAAAUGCGCAGAUAUCAGGAGGAACACCGAUGGCGAAGGCAGGUCUCUGGGCAUUAACUGACGCUGAGGAGCGAAAGCAUGGGGAGCGAACAGGAUUAGAUACCCUGGUAGUC